AUUGAACGCUGGCGGCAGGCCUAACACAUGCAAGUCGAGCGAGCGGCGGACGGGUGAGUAAUGUAUGGGGACUGCCCGAUAGAGGGGGAUAACUCAUGGAAACGGUGGCUAAUACCGCAUACUAUCGGAUAACCCAUAUGGGAUUAGCUAGUAGGGGGGGUAAAGGCUCACGUAGGCGACGAGCUCUAGCUGGUCUGAGAGGAUGAUCAGCCACACUGUGACUGAGCAACGGCCCAGACUCCUACGGAGGCAGCAGUGGGGAAUAUUGCACAAUGGGCGCAAGCCUUAUGCAGCCAUGCCGCGUGUAUGAAGAAGGCCUUCGGGUUGUAAAGUACUUUCAGUCGGGAGGCGUUACCGACAGAAGAAGCACCGGCUAACUCCGUGCCAGCAGCCGCGGUAAUUC
This 403-nucleotide ribosomal RNA is filed under the name uncultured bacterium. RNAcentral describes it as "partial 16S ribosomal RNA". It matches the Rfam family "Bacterial small subunit ribosomal RNA", at positions 30 to 526 of the family's 1533-position model. The record is from RNAcentral.